This is a long non-coding RNA of Nothobranchius furzeri (turquoise killifish), 520 nucleotides long. RefSeq lists it as uncharacterized. The record is from RefSeq and is a predicted model, not a curated record. Lineage: Eukaryota; Metazoa; Chordata; Actinopteri; Cyprinodontiformes; Nothobranchiidae.
GCCUCCGUUUCUUCUCUUUUGUUUUACCUAAAAACGUUGUAAAGUUUUGUUGAUUGUUUGUGCUCUUACAGCUGUGACUCAUUAUUGUGAUUGCAUAAAUAAAAAGGGGGGUGGUGAUGCCGCAACCAUCCUCUGCUAUCCCACUGAAUGCUGUCUACAUGGUGUUUGUCCGUUCCUCCGUUCAAGUAACGGUUGGUUCCCCUGUCUGCAAUGGCUGCGUCAACAAACGUUAAGAGGAUGCAGUGCACCAGGCCGGUGAUUGAUGUGAAUCUAAGGGUGACCCCUGACCCCGACAACCCUCAGGGAGGCUGCAGCUGGACGGCUCACCUCCUGCAGGAGUAAAACUUAACGACUCUCAGAAAUCUGAAAUAACGCCGCCGCCGCUGGAUGGUGCAACGCAACGUCAAACACAUCAGCAGAAGAAUCCAAGAGGUGUUCAUACUUGGUGUCUAAAUGAAAACGAAGCCCAGAUGCGAAUAAAAGAAACGGGUCAGCAUAUCGCUCGUUUCGGCUGUGAGUG